UGCAGUCGAACGGCAGCAUGAUCUAGCUUGCUAGAUUGAUGGCGAGUGGCGAACGGGUGAGUAAUACAUCGGAACGUGCCCUGUAGUGGGGGAUAACUAGUCGAAAGAUUAGCUAAUACCGCAUACGACCUGAGGGUGAAAGUGGGGGACCGCAAGGCCUCAUGCUAUAGGAGCGGCCGAUGUCUGAUUAGCUAGUUGGUGAGGUAAAGGCUCACCAAGGCGACGAUCAGUAGCUGGUCUGAGAGGACGAUCAGCCACACUGGGACUGAGACACGGCCCAGACUCCUACGGGAGGCAGCAGUGGGGAAUUUUGGACAAUGGGCGAAAGCCUGAUCCAGCAAUGCCGCGUGUGUGAAGAAGGCCUUCGGGUUGUAAAGCACUUUUGUCCGGAAAGAAAUGGCUCUGGUUAAUACCUGGGGUCGAUGACGGUACCGGAAGAAUAAGGACCGGCUAACUACGUGCCAGCAGCCGCGGUAAUACGUAGGGUCCAAGCGUUAAUCGGAAUUACUGGGCGUAAAGCGUGCGCAGGCGGUUGUGCAAGACCGAUGUGAAAUCCCCGAGCUUAACUUGGGAAUUGCAUUGGUGACUGCACGGCUAGAGUGUGUCAGAGGGGGGUAGAAUUCCACGUGUAGCAGUGAAAUGCGUAGAGAUGUGGAGGAAUACCGAUGGCGAAAGGCAGCCCCCUGGGAUAACACUGACGCUCAUGCACGAAAGCGUGGGGAGCAAACAGGAUUAGAUACCCUGGUAGUCCACGCCCUAAACGAUGUCAACUAGUUGUUGGGGAUUCAUUUCCUUAGUAACGUAGCUAACGCGUGAAGUUGACCGCCUGGGGAGUACGGUCGCAAGAUUAAAACUCAAAGGAAUUGACGG
RNAcentral lists this ribosomal RNA (870 nucleotides) under Ralstonia sp. MM_1_C6C. RNAcentral's name for it is "bacterial SSU rRNA". It matches the Rfam family "Bacterial small subunit ribosomal RNA", at positions 56 to 916 of the family's 1533-position model. The record is from RNAcentral. Lineage: Bacteria; Pseudomonadati; Pseudomonadota; Betaproteobacteria; Burkholderiales; Burkholderiaceae.